This 21-nucleotide non-coding RNA is filed under the name Caenorhabditis elegans. The record is from RNAcentral. Lineage: Eukaryota; Metazoa; Nematoda; Chromadorea; Rhabditida; Rhabditidae.
UCUUAGUCCGAAAUCUAUUUU